Molecule: ribosomal RNA, 467 nt
Filed under: uncultured bacterium
Lineage: Bacteria
Description: partial 16S ribosomal RNA
Rfam family: Bacterial small subunit ribosomal RNA
Source: RNAcentral
GACGAACGCUGGCGGCGUGCUUAACACAUGCAAGUCGAACGGAAAGGCUCCUGCUUGCAGGGGUACUCGAGUGGCGAACGGGUGAGUAACACGUUGGUGAUCUGCCUUGUACUCUGGGAUAAGCUUGGGAAACUGGGUCUAAUACCGGAUAAUAACUGCCUUUAGUGUGGUGGUUGGAAAGUUUUUUCGGUGCAAGAUGAGCUCGCGGCCUAUCAGCUUGUUGGUGGGGUAAUGGCCUACCAAGGCGUCGACGGGUAGCCGGCCUGAGAGGGUGUACGGCCACAUUGGGACUGAGAUACGGCCCAGACUCCUACGGGAGGCAGCAGUGGGGAAUAUUGCACAAUGGGCGGAAGCCUGAUGCAGCGACGCCGCGUGGGGGAUGACGGCCUUCGGGUUGGAAACUCCUUUCGACAGGGACGAAGCUUUUUGUGACGGUACCUGUAGAAGAAGCACCGGCUAACUACGUG